Astyanax mexicanus (Mexican tetra) is the source of this 54-nucleotide regulatory RNA element. It matches the Rfam family "UnaL2 LINE 3' element". Rfam says of the family: The eel long interspersed element (LINE) UnaL2 and its partner short interspersed element (SINE) share a conserved 3' tail containing a stem-loop that is critical for their retrotransposition. NCBI's taxonomy places the organism in Eukaryota, Metazoa, Chordata, Actinopteri, Characiformes, Acestrorhamphidae. The record is from Rfam.
UGUACUUCUUAUUGUAAGUCGCUUUGGACAAAAGCGUCUGCCAAAUGAAAUGUA